UACGUAGGGUGCAAGCGUUGUCCGGAAUUAUUGGGCGUAAAGAGCUCGUAGGCGGUCUGUCGCGUCUGCUGUGAAAACUCGGGGCUUAACUCCGGGCCUGCAGUGGGUACGGGCAGACUAGAGUGCGGUAGGGGAGACUGGAAUUCCUGGUGUAGCGGUGAAAUGCGCAGAUAUCAGGAGGAACACCGGUGGCGAAGGCGGCAUCCUGGACCGGCAUUGACGCUGAGGAGCGAAAGCUAGGGGAGCAAACGGG
Molecule: ribosomal RNA, 253 nt
Filed under: uncultured bacterium
Lineage: Bacteria
Description: partial 16S ribosomal RNA
Rfam family: Bacterial small subunit ribosomal RNA
Source: RNAcentral